This 762-nucleotide ribosomal RNA is filed under the name uncultured Peptostreptococcus sp. RNAcentral's name for it is "bacterial SSU rRNA". It matches the Rfam family "Bacterial small subunit ribosomal RNA", at positions 28 to 776 of the family's 1533-position model. The record is from RNAcentral. Lineage: Bacteria; Bacillati; Bacillota; Clostridia; Peptostreptococcales; Peptostreptococcaceae.
GAUGAACGCUGGCGGCGUGCCUAACACAUGCAAGUCGAGCGAGGGUUUGCUCAGUAUUGAGUAUUCUAAAACUAGAAUGUUCAAUUCUGAGCAAAACCAAGCGGCGGACGGGUGAGUAACGCGUGGGUAACCUGCCCUAUACACAUGGAUAACAUACUGAAAAGUUUACUAAUACAUGAUAAUAUAUAUUUGCGGCAUCGCAGAUAUAUCAAAGUGUUAGCGGUAUAGGAUGGACCCGCGUCUGAUUAGCUAGUUGGUGAGAUAACUGCCCACCAAGGCGACGAUCAGUAGCCGACCUGAGAGGGUGAUCGGCCACAUUGGAACUGAGACACGGUCCAAACUCCUACGGGAGGCAGCAGUGGGGAAUAUUGCACAAUGGGCGAAAGCCUGAUGCAGCAACGCCGCGUGAACGAUGAAGGUCUUCGGAUCGUAAAGUUCUGUUGCAGGGGAAGAUAAUGACGGUACCCUGUGAGGAAGCCCCGGCUAACUACGUGCCAGCAGCCGCGGUAAUACGUAGGGGGCUAGCGUUAUCCGGAUUUACUGGGCGUAAAGGGUGCGUAGGUGGUCCUUCAAGUCGGUGGUUAAAGGCUACGGCUCAACCGUAGUAAGCCGCCGAAACUGGAGGACUUGAGUGCAGGAGAGGAAAGUGGAAUUCCCAGUGUAGCGGUGAAAUGCGUAGAUAUUGGGAGGAACACCAGUAGCGAAGGCGGCCUUCUGGACUGCAACUGACACUGAGGCACGAAAGCGUGGGUAGCAAACAGG